RNAcentral lists this ribosomal RNA (303 nucleotides) under uncultured Dacrymycetes. Its description in RNAcentral is "partial 28S ribosomal RNA". It matches the Rfam family "Eukaryotic large subunit ribosomal RNA", at positions 40 to 338 of the family's 3401-position model. The record is from RNAcentral. Lineage: Eukaryota; Fungi; Basidiomycota; Dacrymycetes.
AUAUCAAUAAGCGGAGGAAAAGAAACUAACAAGGAUUCCCCUAGUAACUGCGAGUGAAGCGGGAUGAGCUCAAAUUUAAAAUCUGGCGUCUCUGGCGUCCGAGUUGUAACCUAGAGAAGCGUUUUCAGCCGCCGGCCGUGGACAAGUCCCUUGGAACAGGGCGUCAUAGAGGGUGAGAAUCCCGUCCUUGCCACGACACCGUGUGUCUAUGUGAUACGCUCUCGAAGAGUCGAGUUGUUUGGGAAUGCAGCUCAAAAUGGGAGGUAUGUUCCUUCUAAAGCUAAAUAUUGGCGAGAGACCGAU